AUUGAACGCUGGCGGCAGGCCUAACACAUGCAAGUCGAGCGGAUGAAGGGAGCUUGCUCCUGGAUUCAGCGGCGGACGGGUGAGUAAUGCCUAGGAAUCUGCCUGGUAGUGGGGGAUAACGUCCGGAAACGGGCGCUAAUACCGCAUACGUCCUGAGGGAGAAAGUGGGGGAUCUUCGGACCUCACGCUAUCAGAUGAGCCUAGGUCGGAUUAGCUAGUUGGUGGGGUAAAGGCCUACCAAGGCGACGAUCCGUAACUGGUCUGAGAGGAUGAUCAGUCACACUGGAACUGAGACACGGUCCAGACUCCUACGGGAGGCAGCAGUGGGGAAUAUUGGACAAUGGGCGAAAGCCUGAUCCAGCCAUGCCGCGUGUGUGAAGAAGGCCUUCGGAUUGUAAAUCACUUUAAGUUGGGAGGAAGGGCAGUAAGUUAAUACCUUGCUGUUUUGACGUUACCAACAGAAUAAGCACCGGCUAACUUCGUG
RNAcentral lists this ribosomal RNA (484 nucleotides) under uncultured bacterium. RNAcentral's name for it is "partial 16S ribosomal RNA". It matches the Rfam family "Bacterial small subunit ribosomal RNA", at positions 30 to 507 of the family's 1533-position model. The record is from RNAcentral.